This 486-nucleotide ribosomal RNA is filed under the name uncultured bacterium. RNAcentral describes it as "partial 16S ribosomal RNA". It matches the Rfam family "Bacterial small subunit ribosomal RNA", at positions 30 to 507 of the family's 1533-position model. The record is from RNAcentral.
AUUGAACGCUGGCGGCAUGCCUUACACAUGCAAGUCGAACGGCAGCACGGGUGCUGGCACCUGGUGGCGAGUGGCGAACGGGUGAGUAAUACAUCGGAACAUGUCCUGACGUGGGGGAUAGCCCGGCGAAAGCCGGAUUAAUACCGCAUACGAUCUACGGAUGAAAGCGGGGGACCUUCGGGCCUCGCGCUAUCGGGUUGGCCGAUGGCUGAUUAGCUAGUUGGUGGGGUAAAGGCCUACCAAGGCGACGAUCAGUAGCUGGUCUGAGAGGACGACCAGCCACACUGGAACUGAGACACGGCCCAGACUCCUACGGGAGGCAGCAGUGGGGAAUUUUGGACAAUGGGCGAAAGCCUGAUCCAGCAAUGCCGCGUGUGUGAAGAAGGCCUUCGGGUUGUAAAGCACUUUUGUCCGGAAAGAAAUCCUUGGCCCUAAUACGGUCGGGGGAUGACGGUACCGGAAGAAUAAGCACCGGCUAACUACGUG